Molecule: ribosomal RNA, 428 nt
Filed under: uncultured bacterium
Lineage: Bacteria
Description: bacterial SSU rRNA
Rfam family: Bacterial small subunit ribosomal RNA
Source: RNAcentral
UGGGGAAUCUUCCGCAAUGGACGAAAGUCUGACGGAGCAACGCCGCGUGUAUGAUGAAGGUCUUCGGAUUGUAAAGUACUGUCAUUGGGGAAGAACGGUUUUCUUGAAAAGAUUGAGAAGACAUGACGGUACCCAAGGAGGAGGCCCCGGCUAACUACGUGCCAGCAGCCGCGGUAAUACGUAGGGGGCAAGCGUUGUCCGGAAUUAUUGGGCGUAAAGGGCGCGUAGGCGGGCCUUUAAGUCCGGCGUGAAAGAUCAGGGCUCAACCCUGAGAGUGCAUCGGAAACUGGAGGCCUUGAGGACAGGAGAGGAAAGUGGAAUUCCACGUGUAGCGGUGAAAUGCGUAGAUAUGUGGAGGAACACCAGUGGCGAAGGCGACUUUCUGGACUGUAACUGACGCUGAGGCGCGAAAGCGUGGGGAGCAAACA